GACUACCAGGGUAUCUAAUCCUGUUUGCUACCCACGCUUUCGUGCCUCAGCGUCAGUGAUAGCUUAGAGAGCUGCCUUCGCAAUCGGUGUUCUAUGACAUAUCUAAGCAUUUCACCGCUACAUGUCAUAUUCCGCCCUCCUCAACUAUACUCAAGACUAGCAGUAUCAAUGGCAGUUCUACAGUUGAGCUGCAGGCUUUCACCACUGACUUACUAAUCCGCCUACGCACCCUUUAAACCCAAUAAAUCCGGAUAACGCUUGGAUCCUCCGUAUUACCGCGGCUGCUGGCACGGAGUUAGCCGAUCCUUAUUCUGCGGGUACCAUCAGCCUCGUACAAGUACAAGGGUUUUUUCCCCGCCAAAAGCAGUUUACAACCCAUAGGGCCUUCAUCCUGCACGCGGCAUGGCUGGAUCAGGCUUUCGCCCAUUGUCCAAUAUUCCUUACUGCAGCCGCCCGUAGG
RNAcentral lists this ribosomal RNA (460 nucleotides) under uncultured Bacteroidota bacterium. RNAcentral describes it as "uncultured Bacteroidetes bacterium partial 16S ribosomal RNA". The record is from RNAcentral. Lineage: Bacteria; Pseudomonadati; Bacteroidota.